Dioscorea cayenensis subsp. rotundata (Guinea yam) is the source of this 1147-nucleotide RNA transcript. RefSeq lists it as uncharacterized. The record is from RefSeq and is a predicted model, not a curated record. Lineage: Eukaryota; Viridiplantae; Streptophyta; Magnoliopsida; Dioscoreales; Dioscoreaceae. The transcript is spliced from 3 exons.
UUUUAUAUAUAUAACCCUAUAAAAAAAUUAAAUCAAAAUUGCAUGAAUUUUUGCAUUAAUACCUCUAUAAAUAAUUUCCAAGGUGGUAUUUGUUAAAAUCCCAGUGAUUUAGAUAAACAAUAAUCUUAACAGCCAAAUCUCAGUUCAAAGUUCAAACUCUGCGAACUUCCUUCAAAUGUCGACGAGAAUUCAAACAAACACCUUGCGAGCGCUUCAAUGGCGGCCGAAUCGAUCGAGUCUCCGCCCGUGGAGAUCCUCAUGGAGCCCGAGAACCACCAGGAAUCCUUCUUCUCCUCCCGCACUCUCACUAGCCUUGCCGAGAUCUCUCGUAGUCCUGGCCACAACCUCCUCCUUCAACUGUGGCAAAGAGACGAACACCUCUCAGGCUAUCGCGUCGCCGUGCGAGAACUCCAGCUCGAGAACUUCAAGCGCGAGGUUUUCCACCUAUGCUGCCUCUUCUUCGCUUUCCACUUCUUCUUUCUGGCGCUAUUGUUUACCUCCUCCUCCUGGGCGCAUCGCCACCGCGACCGGUGCGCGCGGUGGUGGGUUCCCUUCGCGCUCUCGCUGAUCACUUCGAGUGCCUUGGUCUCUGCGGUGCAGAUGAGAUUGUUCGGGGUCCAGAGAGUGAAGAAGCUGCUGAAGACUGACAAAGGCUCUGACCGCGCGCUGACAAUGUGCGUGCAGGAGCUCAGGCUUAAAGGCGCGAGCUUUGAUCUGUCCAUGGAGCCACUGAAUGUCUCGAGUAUGAAGAGCACCAGUGUUGCCAUCCAGCUGCGGCUGCUGCGGUGGUGCUCGAGGAAUCUCAUCACUUUGUGCCUCGCCGGAGUCUCUGUGAUCUUGAUUCCAGCUUCCAGACUCUUACUUUGUAGCUGAGAGAUGGAAGGACCUGCGUACUGGAGUAUAUCAUCAGUUCAGAUGAGAUAUUUUUUUAAAAUUUCUUUUCGAUGAGGGGUGGUGAAUUGGGCAUUAAAGAAAGAGCGUGCAACCAUUGAACCAAGUUUUUGUAGGACAGUGCGCUGUGAUGGAGUGUUAUUAAUUUGCAACUGUUUAUAAAUUAGACCAGUACUUUUACAAGAACAUGGCUCAUGUUCCAGUCAGUUGUGUUAAAACAUCAUUUACUUUGCUUCUCUUCAUCAGCAAAUAAAGA